AUAAAAUUUGGUCCUCACAUUUUCUAUGAUUACCACUAUAGUAUCUCUAAGAAGUUCCUCUUCUCCUCUUCUCCUCUUCUCUGAUCGAACAGAGGAUUUGCGUGGAGCUCCUCUUCUCCUCUUCUCCGAUCGAACAGGACUUGCGUGGAAGAUGAGCAGAGAAACCAAAUCAAUGAAACAGGGGAAGAUGAGCAGAGAAACCAAAUCAAUGAAGCAGGGGAAGAUGAGCAGAGAAACACGAGUGAUGCAGCGGGUUUAAGAAACAGGUGAGGUGCCGAGGUGCCGACGCAGCUAUAGGUAUACGCUACCGGAAAGGUGUUGUUCGCUGCAGAGUGAUAGUGCCGAGGUGCCGACGCAGAGUGAUAGUGCCGAGGUGCCGAGGGGCCGACGCAGCAACAGGUGAGAUGCCGAGGUGCCGACGCAGAGUGAUAGUGCCGAGGUGCCGAGGUGCCGACGCAGCAACAGGUGAGGUGCCGAGGUGCCGACGCAGAGUGAUAGUGCUGAGGUGCCGAGGUGCCGACGCAGCAACAGGUGAGGUGCCGAGGUGCCGACGCAGAGUGAUAGUGGGAGAAGAAAGGUGUGGGAGAAAUGUGUUGUUCGCCGCUGCAGAAGGGAGAGUAGAGCCUUUCAGGUAUACGCCACCGGAGCAGCGCCGUUCGGCAGGGAAAUUUAAAAACUGACAGCGAGUUCAUCAGUUAUUAAGAACUGACAGCGAGUGUUUCAAAUAUUAAGAACUGAGAGCGACCCUGCCUGCUCCAGCUGACGGAUUUGAGACUUAUUCCGAUCUCCUUUAUGAACCGCUCGUAGACUUUGAGUUCGAGCAAAUGAACAAGCUGUAUCUGUAUAAGGUAUAGAAGUUGGAUCAGAGGCAGUGCGGUAUCUUGGUGUUGGCGACGAAAAAGGUGAUUGGACUGAUUGCCUUGACCUUAGUAGUAGUUGAUAAUGCCCUUCUUCAGCGGUAAGUAGUGAAUACGAUUGAUUUCCAGUUAACAGUGGAGAAUUGCCUGUUCAAGUUCCAGGUAAGGAGUAAUAAGAAUAUGAAUAAGAAGCGGGAAGUUACGUUAUUGUGGAUGGAGUUAAACACUUUUCCUUUUUCGCCCUGCGUGACUCUCUGCCCAACACCGAGAAAUCUAAAGUAAGUAUUGGUACAUAAGUAUAAGAGUAAAGAGUACGUAGAUGAAUGUCUGAGGUCAAAGGUACUGUUUCCUCUUUCCCGAGUAGAGAUAGGUUAGUGCUCUAGCUCCUUGUCGUAUAGAGAAGAGAGGUUCAUCAGUUAUUACAAAACAGAGGUUCAUCAGUUAUUACAAAAGUACAGCGCCGUUCUUACGUAUUUUAUGGUCCAUCUUGUUUAUAAACUGCACUUACCCAAGAAUAUCAACCACUAAGGAACUAUAGUUUAGAAAUUUUGCCUCGUUUAUCUUCCUUUUGUGAAUAUUUAAGCUCUCCAGUGCUCAUAUCUUUAUUAGGCCACUUCCAAGAUCAUCUUCAAAGGUAUUCUUGACUUUCUUUUGUGAUGAAUCAGUACAGAUUGACCUUCUAUAUGUGUCCUCGUAAUCAUUAUCAUACUGACAUACAUCAAUAUCAUUGGUUUUCCACAUCAUAAUGUUUCUUAUGUUGUUGUUGACUUGUAAACUCUUGAUUAUACCAUCUUAUGCUCUGUUGGUUCUUUGUUAAAGAAAAACUUUUUCUGCUUGGAGAUUCAUAUAGGGAAUUUUACUUUGUUUUAUUUUUGACAUGUUUUUGGAACAAAUUUGUCCUUCAUUUUUUUUUUUCAUGCAUAGACCUCUGUCUGUGAUGCGGACCUAUGCAUCAAGCGUAGCAUUGCAUCUGGCUUGUGAGACACCUCUGAUCAUUAUUCAUCCUUGGGCCAGUCUUGCUGCAAGUUUUGCUUGAUUUACAUAAACAAAGUUCCCAUACAUGGCAUACUUAGCUUUGUUACACUUAUGGUGACAAGGAAAGGCCAGAUAAAAGAGAGCAAUUAAUUUCAAAGAUCGUUUUAUGCUGUUAUCUUUGCGGUGGUGACUCAAGUUUUCUUUUGUAAGUUGCCUAGUUAGGCUAUACAUGUUAUACCUUUAGCAAGGUUCAUUAAUGAUAUUCUAUUGGAACUAAUGGAUGGUUUUGUAUACAAAUUAUAUUAGUCCAAGAAAGAGUGUGACUAUCUGAUUGAGUUAGCGAAGCCUCACAUGGAGAAAUCAACAGUUGUUGAUAGUGCCACUGGUUGGAGUAAAGACAGCAGGUUUGCAUUUCACAGGGUGAGGACGAGUUCGAGCAUGUUUCUUAGAAGAGGAAAAGACAAAAUUAUCUGUGCAAUUGAGAAAAGGAUAGCAGAUUAUACCUUUAUACCUGUAGGUAGUAUUCAGCAUAUUAUACAAACUGAAGAACUUCAUCACUGGGUACUAUAAAAUCAGUUCUCCUACUUAAUGCACUAUAUUUUGGUCUUCUUGUGAGUUUUUAUAGCCAAUGAUUGUACAGUUUUUACUACUUUGUUUUGGAGCAUUUGCAAAGUACUUCUAACAUGUAUGUCUUUGUUUGAAAGUGAUUUAAAUCAUUUGGCUCAUAUCAUCCAUAACUGACAUAUUUGAGUCUUGGUCUGCUUUGUUGUGAAGUAUUACUUUUUUAAAAAUAUGUUAUUUUGACUACUGGUAUAUGUAAUAUUGUUGCAUGUGGAAGUUGCACUGAGUAUUUCAACGGGAUACCAUGUGCAGCUGAAAUGCUUGUUCACACUGAUCAUUAUAUACUGAAAUGUCAUUAUCACAAAGUCUGAUUGCGUAGUACUUGAUUAUAAACAUCAGCAUCAUGAUUUCUUUGAUAAUAUUUCAUAUUCGGUCAUCUUUUUCUUUUUAGAAUGUCAUAAUAUUUAUUCACUGUGGAAUAAUAAUAAAUUGAAAAAGUAUAUAAUUGUUUGACUUUUACACUAUUAAUGGUGGUAUAUAUCAGCGCUUUAGUAAAAUUGCAGUUCAUCAAAGUGAUAAAACCACUACUCUCUUGGCCAAAAUAACUUAUGCAUCUCUAUUCUAGUAUCAGUUUCUCAAGGGUGCUUUUUUUUUCUUCAGAUGCCUUUCUUUUUCUUUUUUUUCCUUUCUUUUUUUAUCUCUCACCUAAAAUUUGGUUUUAUAUUUUUACGGAACACGGUGAGGGUCUUCAGGUUCUCCAUUAUGAAGUUGGUCAGAAAUACGAUCCGCACUAUGAUUCUUUCCAUGAUGAAUUCAAUACCAAGAAUGGGGGUCAACGUAUUGCUACCCUUCUCAUGUAUCUUAUAUCUGUUGCUCAGUUCUCAUGUUGAGGAAGGUGGUGAAACUGUGUUUCCCUUCUGAGAAGGUAAAUAGCAGUUCUUUACCAUGGUAUAAUGAGCUAUCAGACUGUGCAAAGCAGUUUCUUUCUGUUAAAACCAAAAGAUGGGAGAUGCAUUACUCUUCUGGAGCAUGAGGCCAGAUGCCACUCCAGAUCCAUCUAGUUUGCACGGUGGAUGUCCUGUUAUUAAAGGAAAUAAGUGGUCUUCUACAAAGUGGAUGCGCAUGCAUGAGUACAGGGCUUAGCUACCAAACUAAACAAGAAUUUUCCUGUCAUCAUGAUUCAUGAUGAGAUACGAAGCAGACCUAGAGAUGGCAACCUGAGAUACGAAGCAGCAGACCUAUCGUCAGUCUUGAUGAUAGUAGCAGUGAUGCUCGGGAUGGUUAGAGAAAAAGAGGAUGAUAUGAGGCAUAUAAAGUAACCUUAUAAAUUCUUGAUUCCGGUGGUUGGGGAUGUAAAUGUAUGACAAAGCAACUUUAGUCUCCUUUUUUUCAAACUCACAAGAAUAUAAAUGUUCACCAAAUGGGUUAUGGUUA
Molecule: long non-coding RNA, 3827 nt
Organism: Musa acuminata AAA Group (dessert banana)
Lineage: Eukaryota; Viridiplantae; Streptophyta; Magnoliopsida; Zingiberales; Musaceae
Exons: 5
Source: RefSeq, a predicted model, not a curated record